UAUUGUAUCGUAUAACGGUUAUUACAGCAGCCUUUUAAGCUCGCAAAAUUGGGUUCGAAUCCCAAUACACUCA
Molecule: transfer RNA, 73 nt
Filed under: Cavenderia fasciculata
Lineage: Eukaryota; Evosea; Eumycetozoa; Acytosteliales; Cavenderiaceae
Description: tRNA-Lys
Rfam family: tRNA
About the family: Transfer RNA (tRNA) molecules are approximately 80 nucleotides in length.
Source: RNAcentral